GAAGAGGCGAAACAAACAAACAAACAAAAUGGAGUACGGCCUGCACACUAUGAGAACAACAACCGCCUCAGCGAAAGUGCAGUCUCAUUGAGACCGCUUCAUUUCCAAGAAGCAGAAGUUAAAGACAUUUCCUAAAAAAAAAAAAAAAAAAAAGGCUGCGGCCUGUGGUUAUCAGGAGAGGCCAGACCGAGGGUCAAGAGCUUGUAACUAUUGUUCGAACCCUAUAUCUGUUGUGUGGCGUGUAAACCCUAUAAAAACCCUUUCCUACUGAGCACCAGGGUCGCCUCCUCUGACUCCUGCGUGAGUUACGAGACGACCCGGAGCUCCGAAAUAAACCUCACCUCGUGCGUUUGCAUCAAGUCGGCUCCUCGUUUUCCUCUGAGGUGCGCGUCUGCCUGGGUAGAGGAAAGCUUCGCCUUUCAUUUGGGGGCUCGUCCGGGAUCAACGACGAACACCUCAGGAAACGAUGACCCCUUGGAGCACGCCUAAAAGCGUUGGAAGUAGUUAGAAAAGAAGUUUGGGAACAGUUGAAGAACCUCUACGACCCAGGCGAGGUGUCGAUGCCCCAUUCGUUCCAGGUCGGAGACAAAGUUCUGAUUAGACGACACCGAUCAGAGACGCUCGAACCUCGGUGGAAGGGACCGUAUGUGGUAUUGUUAACAACUCCCACCGCUGUAAAAGUCGAUGGGAUUACUGCGUGGGUACAUUCAGCGCAUGUAAAAGGGCACCUAGAGAUAUACAAAAGGAUGAUUGGGUGGUGGAAAAGACUGAUAAUCCUCUUAAGCUUCGUGUGUUUCGGAAACCAAACCGAAACACCUAGGGAAAAUCUGUUGGUGGGACUAAUCCGAGAUUUCGGGAAGGCCCAAAAUGCAACCAGUAUCACUGCUUGUUUACCAUUACCACAAGCAGCUGGGGAGCCUAUUCCGUGGGGUAUAAUCCCGGCGGGACCACUACCAAAAUAUAAAAAUAAUGUAAUCUUUAUUUCUUAUAAGUGUGUUUUAGGACUGUGCCUAAAGGGGUGGAAGAAGACUCCAAAAUGACAUCCAUAAUGUUAUAAGCAUAGAAUAGAAAUAUAAUGUUAGUAAGUGUUAGUCCUGACCACUGGCCUGGCCUCUCCAGAAAUUCUAAGAUUAGAAAUGUACAAAAGAAAAAGAGGGGAAUGAGAAGAGGCGAAACAAACAAACAAACAAAAUGGAGUACGGCCUGCACACUAUGAGAACAACAACCGCCUCAGCGAAAGUGCAGUCUCAUUGAGACCGCUUCAUUUCCAAGAAGCAGAAGUUAAAGACAUUUCCUAAAAAAAAAAAAAAAAAAAAGGCUGCGGCCUGUGGUUAUCAGGAGAGGCCAGACCGAGGGUCAAGAGCUUGUAACUAUUGUUCGAACCCUAUAUCUGUUGUGUGGCGUGUAAACCCUAUAAAAACCCUUUCCUACUGAGCACCAGGGUCGCCUCCUCUGACUCCUGCGUGAGUUACGAGACGACCCGGAGCUCCGAAAUAAACCUCACCUCGUGCGUUUGCAUCAA
Molecule: long non-coding RNA, 1522 nt
Organism: Colius striatus (speckled mousebird)
Lineage: Eukaryota; Metazoa; Chordata; Aves; Coliiformes; Coliidae
Exons: 2
Source: RefSeq, a predicted model, not a curated record